AAAUAUUUAAGAAAAGCACACACACAACACCCUCACUACAAGUGAUUCUAAAAGAGCCACAUACAAAACACAAGAUCUAAAAAAUAAUACCACCAUUAAGUAUGGCUUUCUUAGGAGUUGUACAUGUCAUAGAAUGAGCCAAAGUAAGAUUAUCUUUUAUAAUAUUGCAAAAAGUUCCAGUUUUGCAUUUUCUCAGGUUUUGUCUUGUUUUUAAAGGAAGAUGUGCAAAAUUGGAAGCAUAGCUGUGUCUUUUGAGUUAGGUCCCUGUCAAGUCCUAGCAGUGUCCUGUUCCCCCAAACUCAGAGUUCAAAUAUGCAAAUUGUUCAGGAUCCAGAGAUCCAUAAAAAAACAUAUCAUUUUUCCCACUUCAACCCUAACAACACCCACCCCAUGGACUAUAUUUUCCACUUUGGUGUUACAAACACCAAAAUACCGACACACGCACAAAAAAUACGAAAUGUGAAAUGUAAUCUACACAUUUUCUUCAUAAAAAAAUAUUUAUUAGUUUGAACAUUGAAUUAAAAAAAAGUCACAUAAAAACAAAAAAACAAAAAGUUUCAAUACAUACAUUUUUUCCCUCCAUGCCUCCUGAGACGGAUGUGUUCAUCUGGAUCUCUAGAAUUCCACUUUCCAAUUGGAAACUGAGCCAGAACAAAGCCUGCCACAUGGCAAACACUUGGAAGGUGGUGGGACCAGAAAUGGGACCCUCAGUUUUCUGGUUAAGUGGACAUCUGCCUCUCUAGGCUCAGAGCCAUGGAAAUGAAGCCUAUACUUUUCACAGAACAAGUGUGAGAGCCUUUAGAAAUACAAGAAGAGGACUUGAUGAAGAGUUAAAUAAAACCACUCGAGUCCUGUCAAGUGAGAAAACAAUUCAAAAUAAAGUAACCUGUAGUAACCACCUGAAAA
Non-coding RNA from Cricetulus griseus (Chinese hamster), 906 nucleotides. Lineage: Eukaryota; Metazoa; Chordata; Mammalia; Rodentia; Cricetidae. The record is from RefSeq and is a predicted model, not a curated record.